GCUUAGGUUUAGAUCCUACCUCUAGUCUCCGCCGCCGCUUCGACACCAUGCACCCCCGGGGAGAGAUCGAUCUCCAGUGUGGACAAUGCCAUCAUUUAGGCACCUGAUCCUAUUGAUCAGGCUAUCAUCAUCAUUGUCGUGCAGCAGAUCAAGAUCUUUCCUACGGCAUCCUCGGGCUGCUGCCACCUCUUCCCUGAGCUCAUCGCUGGCUGUCUUCAUCAACACCUUAUCUUCGUCACAUGGAGGUAGAUGGAUCUUGCCCUGUCCCAUGUCGCAUAGUGGCAGCCAGGCCAGGCCACAUGCCCCGACCCAGUGCUGCCAUGGAGGCAACCAGAUCUAGUGCGUAGCCGCUGCCAAGCGGAUCUACCCAUCUCCACCACAUCGAUUCAUGUUGGCGCCUUCGACCCUACAUGUCUGUGACCUGACGUGCGCCUUGUGCCACCUGAUCAGGCCAUGCCGCAACUACCGUGCUAUGUUGCUGGCUCAUUGACCUUGCAUGUACUACUCCGGCAUCAGUAUCAACUGGGCUAUCGGCUGCCCCGUCAUGCCAUUGGUUGUGCUUAACGGCUAGGCCAUCGGCUGUCCCCACAAGGUUGCACGAUCCAUUGGCUUGUCAUCGACACCAUCGGCGAGUACUACACGCAUCUUCUUCGAGCAACAGGGAAACUGUUGUGUCGCCUCAUCAGGCCGCAUCACCACCAUUCGUGUGUUCGCUUCGCCAUUGUAUCUACAUCGCCGUCACCUAUGGAUUGAUGAUUGUGCUACGCAAUCCCUACUAUGUCAUUUGUCUGCACCA
This is a long non-coding RNA of Sorghum bicolor (sorghum), 796 nucleotides long. RefSeq lists it as uncharacterized. The transcript has 2 exons. The record is from RefSeq and is a predicted model, not a curated record. Lineage: Eukaryota; Viridiplantae; Streptophyta; Magnoliopsida; Poales; Poaceae.